CAAAAACAUGUCCCUUGUGGAAUUAAUAUAAGGUUGAGCCCUGCCCAAUGAAAUUUAAAUGGCUGCGGUAUAUUGACCGUGCAAAGGUAGCAUAAUCAUUAGUUUUUUAAUUGAAAACUGGAAUGAAUGGUUUGACGAAAUAUGAUCUGUCUAUUUAUGAUAUAUUGAAUUUUAUUUUUUAGUAAAAAGGCUAAAAUAUUAAUAAGGGACGAGAAGACCCUAUAGAGUUAAAUAUAAGUAAUAAAUUAAGGAGAUUAGGUUAAAUGUARUAUUAAAUUGUUAAUUAUAUUUUAUUGGGGUGAUAAGAAAAUAAUAAGAACUUUUAUUAAUAAUUUACUUUGAUAGUAGAAAUAAUUUAUGAUCUUGUAUUAUGGAUUGUGAGAAAAAAUUACCUUAGGGAUAACAGCGUAAUUUUAUUUGAGAGUUCAAAUUGAUGAUAAAGUUUGCGACCUCGAUGUUGGAUUAAGAUGAUUAUUAGGUGCAGAAGUUUAUAAAUAAGUCUGUUCGACUUUUAAAAUCUUACAUGAUC
This 529-nucleotide ribosomal RNA is filed under the name Ornebius aperta. Its description in RNAcentral is "partial 16S ribosomal RNA". It matches the Rfam family "Bacterial large subunit ribosomal RNA", at positions 1808 to 2605 of the family's 2925-position model. Lineage: Eukaryota; Metazoa; Arthropoda; Insecta; Orthoptera; Mogoplistidae. The record is from RNAcentral.